This is a non-coding RNA of Aedes aegypti (yellow fever mosquito), 46 nucleotides long. The record is from Rfam. NCBI's taxonomy places the organism in Eukaryota, Metazoa, Arthropoda, Insecta, Diptera, Culicidae.
CAAUCGGCCCUUUUGGGGGCCAACAAACGUUCUUGAAAGAGUUUAU